AUUGAACGCUGGCGGCAGGCCUAACACAUGCAAGUCGAACGAGUGGUGGACGGGUGAGUAACGUCUGGGAAACUGCCCGAUGGAGGGGGAUAACUACUGGAAACGGUAGCUAAUACCGCAUACCAUCGGAUGUGCCCAGAUGGGAGUAGCUAGUAGGUGGGGUAAAGGCUCACCUAGGCGACGAUCCCUAGCUGGUCUGAGAGGAUGACCAUCCACACUGUAACUGAGACACGGUCCAGACUCCUACGGGAGGAAGCAGUGGGGAGUAUUCCGCAGUGGGCGAAAGCCUGAUGCAUCCAUGCCGCGUGUAUGAAGAUGGCCUUCGGGUUGUAAAGUGCUUUCAGCGGGGAGGCGUUGCCCGCAGAGUGAGCACCGGCUGACUCCGUGCCAGCAGCCGCGGUAAUUC
Molecule: ribosomal RNA, 406 nt
Filed under: uncultured bacterium
Lineage: Bacteria
Description: partial 16S ribosomal RNA
Rfam family: Bacterial small subunit ribosomal RNA
Source: RNAcentral